AUGAAACUCGUCAGUUGGAACUGUCUGGGGCUCGGGAAUGGCCCGGCAGUUCGCAGCCUCCUCGAGUUGGGGAGGGCGGAGGAGCCCGGCAUCCUGUUUUUGGCAGAAACUACACUCACGGAAAAAGAACUUGAGCGAUUUUAGUGGAUAGUGGGUCUAGCUCAUAUGAAUGCUUGGAACCCAGAAGGAAGGAGCAGGGGGUUGCGAUGUUCUGUAGAAGAGGGGUGGAUGUAG
This 234-nucleotide ribosomal RNA is filed under the name Triticum aestivum (bread wheat). RNAcentral's name for it is "partial small subunit ribosomal RNA". The record is from RNAcentral. Lineage: Eukaryota; Viridiplantae; Streptophyta; Magnoliopsida; Poales; Poaceae.